Molecule: ribosomal RNA, 1506 nt
Filed under: Enterococcus durans
Lineage: Bacteria; Bacillati; Bacillota; Bacilli; Lactobacillales; Enterococcaceae
Description: bacterial SSU rRNA
Rfam family: Bacterial small subunit ribosomal RNA
Source: RNAcentral
UUUGAUUAUGGCUCAGGACGAACGCUGGCGGCGUGCCUAAUACAUGCAAGUCGUACGCUUCUUUUUCCACCGGAGCUUGCUCCACCGGAAAAAGAAGAGUGGCGAACGGGUGAGUAACACGUGGGUAACCUGCCCAUCAGAAGGGGAUAACACUUGGAAACAGGUGCUAAUACCGUAUAACAAUCGAAACCGCAUGGUUUUGAUUUGAAAGGCGCUUUCGGGUGUCGCUGAUGGAUGGACCCGCGGUGCAUUAGCUAGUUGGUGAGGUAACGGCUCACCAAGGCCACGAUGCAUAGCCGACCUGAGAGGGUGAUCGGCCACAUUGGGACUGAGACACGGCCCAAACUCCUACGGGAGGCAGCAGUAGGGAAUCUUCGGCAAUGGACGAAAGUCUGACCGAGCAACGCCGCGUGAGUGAAGAAGGUUUUCGGAUCGUAAAACUCUGUUGUUAGAGAAGAACAAGGAUGAGAGUAACUGUUCAUCCCUUGACGGUAUCUAACCAGAAAGCCACGGCUAACUACGUGCCAGCAGCCGCGGUAAUACGUAGGUGGCAAGCGUUGUCCGGAUUUAUUGGGCGUAAAGCGAACGCAGGCGGUUUCUUAAGUCUGAUGUGAAAGCCCCCGGCUCAACCGGGGAGGGUCAUUGGAAACUGGGAGACUUGAGUGCAGAAGAGGAGAGUGGAAUUCCAUGUGUAGCGGUGAAAUGCGUAGAUAUAUGGAGGAACACCAGUGGCGAAGGCGGCUCUCUGGUCUGUAACUGACGCUGAGGCUCGAAAGCGUGGGGAGCAAACAGGAUUAGAUACCCUGGUAGUCCACGCCGUAAACGAUGAGUGCUAAGUGUUGGAGGGUUUCCGCCCUUCAGUGCUGCAGCUAACGCAUUAAGCACUCCGCCUGGGGAGUACGACCGCAAGGUUGAAACUCAAAGGAAUUGACGGGGGCCCGCACAAGCGGUGGAGCAUGUGGUUUAAUUCGAAGCAACGCGAAGAACCUUACCAGGUCUUGACAUCCUUUGACCACUCUAGAGAUAGAGCUUCCCCUUCGGGGGCAAAGUGACAGGUGGUGCAUGGUUGUCGUCAGCUCGUGUCGUGAGAUGUUGGGUUAAGUCCCGCAACGAGCGCAACCCUUAUUGUUAGUUGCCAUCAUUUAGUUGGGCACUCUAGCAAGACUGCCGGUGACAAACCGGAGGAAGGUGGGGAUGACGUCAAAUCAUCAUGCCCCUUAUGACCUGGGCUACACACGUGCUACAAUGGGAAGUACAACGAGUCGCGAAGUCGCGAGGCUAAGCUAAUCUCUUAAAGCUUCUCUCAGUUCGGAUUGUAGGCUGCAACUCGCCUACAUGAAGCCGGAAUCGCUAGUAAUCGCGGAUCAGCACGCCGCGGUGAAUACGUUCCCGGGCCUUGUACACACCGCCCGUCACACCACGAGAGUUUGUAACACCCGAAGUCGGUGAAGUAACCUUUUGGAGCCAGCCGCCUAAGGUGGGGAUAGAUGAUUGGGGUGAAGUCGU